GAUGAACGCUGGCGGCGUGCCUAAUACAUGCAAGUCGAACGGACAGACGAGGAGCUUGCUCCUCUGACGUUAGCGGCGGAGGUGUGUGUAACGCGUGUAUAACCUACCUAUAAUACUGGUAUAACUUCGGGAAACCGGCGCUAAUACCGUAUGAUAUAUUGAACCGCGUGGUUCAAUGGUGAAUUACGGUGUUUCGGGCACGUAUAGAUGGUUCCGCGCCGCAUGAGCUGGUUGUGAAGUUAACGGCUUACCAAGGGGACGAUGCGUAGCCGAGCUGAGAGGGUGAUAGGCCACACUGGAACUGAGCCACCGUCAAGGCUACUACGGGACGCCGCAGUAGGGAAUCUUCGGCAAUGGGCGAAAGCCUGACGGAGUAACGCCGCGUGAGUGAUGACGGUCCUCGGAUCGGAAAACUCUGUUAUUAGGGAAGAACAACUGUGUAAGUAAAUAUGCACGUAUUGACGGUAAUUAAUCAGAAAGCAACGGCUAACUACGUG
This 497-nucleotide ribosomal RNA is filed under the name uncultured bacterium. RNAcentral describes it as "partial 16S ribosomal RNA". It matches the Rfam family "Bacterial small subunit ribosomal RNA", at positions 28 to 507 of the family's 1533-position model. The record is from RNAcentral.